Molecule: non-coding RNA, 1033 nt
Organism: Biomphalaria pfeifferi
Lineage: Eukaryota; Metazoa; Mollusca; Gastropoda; Planorbidae
Source: the annotation of a GenBank genome assembly
UUUUUUUUUUUUUUUUUUUUUGGUUGGCUUCUUGUGAAUAAAUCUAAUUAUUUGUUUAUGAUUUUGGUGAUCACACUAAUUGUGAUUGAUUGCUUUACCGAAGGGCUGUCAAAGUUUUAAUUUAUGAAUAACUGUAAUCCAAGGUUCUGUCAUCAAUUAAUUGGAUGUAUUUGUGUUUUCAUCAAGUUAUUUCACAUUACUCGCCUGCUUCUGUGCUAACAGUAGAUUGGUACAGGGCAUGGUUUAACACCAGACCUAUAUAACAAAUUUUGCUACUUCCUAAUCUUUGUGCACUGUUGAACUUCCUAUUAUUUUUGCUUCAAGUAAGUUGUCUGCCGAAUCUUACCCUGUCAACUGUUGUAUGAUGAUCUGUUCUGCCAUUGCUUAGUUACACUUAUUUUUUUUUUUGUCUUUGUUUCUGAAGUAUUGUCUCAAAAAAUAAAUAGCUGAAUUAUUUUUUGUGCUAACAUGUAUAUGUAAAUAUCAAGUUUGUUUAAGUAGCAGGCUUUAAAUAUACUCAGCUAAUAUCUCCCUUUUUUUUGUUUCAGACUAACUAUCAAUUUUAGAUGAGUGUCUUAAUUAUAUUGCAGUAAACUUUUUUAUUUCACAACACUCCGAUUUUUAUUUGUUCAGAACUAGAUGAUCUAGUCAUCAGAAUUCUGUUGUUUUUAUUUAUAUGUUUUAAAUAUGCAGAAUUGUAAUUGACGUUAGAAUUGGAAAAGCUUUAAAGGUUACACAUUUUUGUAUUUUAUUAGCUUUUGUGCCCAGAAACAUAAAUUUCAGAGAUACUUUGGAAGUUUGUUUUUUUGCUGUAUCCUGAAGAAAAAUAUAGGUCUAUUAAUUCUGUAAUAAUUAGACUUACUUAUGUGUUUAGUUUACUAAUACCUUUAUAGAAACUAAAUGAAUCCUUAUUAGUUGUGGCUUUAAAAUUGAUGAUACACUUAAGCAGAUAUAGUCUCUAACAGGGUAUUAAACUUGGUGAUAUUUUAUAGAAAAACUAUUCCCAUAAUAUAUAUAUAUAUAUAUAUAUAUA